This 1962-nucleotide long non-coding RNA is filed under the name Apteryx haastii (Great spotted kiwi). RNAcentral describes it as "lncRNA (ENSAHAG00000001171.1)". Lineage: Eukaryota; Metazoa; Chordata; Aves; Apterygiformes; Apterygidae. The record is from RNAcentral.
AUGACCACCACCGACAAUGCAAUGGUCACCCAGAUGGCGGAGGACACUGUCCAAGAUGUUCUGGCGAGGGCGGAAUGUCUGGGAGCCUCCRUCUGCAUUAUAAAGAAGGCUCCUCCAGAGCACAGGGAGAAACUGUCCUGCAGGGCUUUUACAAGAGCACGGUCCCCUCAGGAAUUCCAGGCAGAGCCUCUGAGAAACAGGGGGCUAGUUGCAGAAGAGAUUCCAUCUCUUGGUUUGGCAGUGGGAGAACAAAAGCCCUCUCAUCUUGCUUCAACUUCCCUUCAACUAUCCAGGAGGGAUGUUUGUGCCCUGACCAGAGGAAAUGAAGAACGUAUAUGCUCCAUGCGUGCAGUCAGGCCUCGGUCUUCCAGACAAGCGCUGGGAAAACCAUGGCUGUUGCAAGGACCCAUAAAGAGGAGAACUCUUCUCCCAAUUAACCAGCAGCUUUCCAGGCAAUCCUGCUCCUCCCCGGGAGCCCAGAGGGUGCCUAAAGGGGAGAACCAAGGCGGGCCAGCAUACGAGGAGCAGGGCAAACCCUGGGCAACCUGCCCAACACUGCCAAGGCUGCCACAGGUGCCAGCUGGGGUUGAUUUGGAUGAGCUUUUUGAGGAAACAUGCAAUGAGCUAAGGAGCAGGUUGCUGCCAGCUUCCAAAGACACCUGUGCCCAGCGGGCCAAGGCACAACCCUUGGACACAGCAGCACACGGCAAUGACUCUCUGCUAAGUGACUUCUCAGCAUGCCAAAGAAGAGAACAGCAGCCUCCUGAACAGCAAGUGUCCCCCGCUGAGAAAGUCAGAGGCAGCAUCAUGACGGAGCUUUGUCAAAGGCAAGGUCCAGCUCCCCUCUGUGAGGAGUGCUUGGGUGCAGACAGCAAUGGUCUUCCUCAGAGCAUGGUGCAGUCGGUGUGUGCACAGCUGCUGGCGCAGUUUGGGUCGCAGCUGACAGAGCAGCUGUGCUUGCAAAGCGUGUGCAGAGCUCUGUGCGAGGCUGCAGCCAGGCUGGUGCUGAGGGGGAUCUCUGGGGCCUGGCUCCAGACCUGCACCCCUGCAGAAGCAUCAGCCCAGCCUCCUGGUGCAGAUGACAGCAUGGUGGAGGAAGCGCGCCGGGACCUUGCAGAGCCCUGCGGCCACUCCAAGCCUUCACUGCCCGACACCAGCAACCUCUCCCUCUCCUCCCUGCUCAUCAAAACACUUUCAGAGAAACUCGUGUCCCUUUUUCCCACCAGCGACUUCAAUGCUGAGAAURUUUCCUUGGUGAGGGACAUAAUAGGAAAACUAUUGCCAACACUGGAAGGGAGGAGAGCAGACAACAGUGAAAUGGGCCAACGCCAGUCCACAACGCCUUCUCCCAGGGAGUCUGCAGGCCUUCCUCAAGGCAUCCUCCAAGACCUGGGCAUGGCAGGGAGGCUGAGAGCCGGGGACCUGUCCCGCACGGCCCCGCACCACCUGCCGAAGCCCUGCAGGACUCAGUCUGGCAGCUGCUGGUGGCAGCCUGGAGCCGUGCUGGAGGUGCAAGUCCAGGACCCGGUGGGCAGCCGUCACAGCCAGACACAGGUGAAGGUGCAUUGGAGCUCAGCACGGCUGUGGUGCAGGGGCUGUCGGCACACACAGACAGCCCAGACGCGUCAGCAAGCAGAGGCCAGGACCAGACCACAGAGCCUGACAAAACCACGCGCCCUGUGGCUGACACCACGGAUGGGGACGUCUUGCUGCAGAGCAGAUCCCACCAAGACACUGGCAGGGAUGAAACGUGCUUCGAGAGACACGUGCCCGAGGCAGCAGCACUCGCUGAGGAGCUCUCCAGGUGCCAGCGAGCAGGGCCUGCUAGCGACCACCCCACAGCAGUGCCCACCACCCCCAGGGGCCCCAGCGCUGCCGGCGGGGCCGUUGCCCCAGCUGCCCCAGGCGUGGGGGCCGGGCUGGGGAUCUGGGCAGGGAAGAGCUCACGACAGCCGGGUUUGA